Molecule: long non-coding RNA, 3354 nt
Organism: Symphalangus syndactylus (siamang)
Lineage: Eukaryota; Metazoa; Chordata; Mammalia; Primates; Hylobatidae
Source: RefSeq, a predicted model, not a curated record
ACUUCCCGCUCCGCCUGCAGAACCGCCAGGUCAGGACCCCGGGGACCCAGUUCCGGGGAGGCCGAGUCAGAGUUGCUCGAGGUCCCCACCGGCUCAGGCCUCUGCGCCUCGUCUGCCUCGGGAAUGGGCUUCGCCUGGGGUCGUCCGCGGCCCGCGCCCCGCUCUAAGGCUGGUGUUGUAGACUGAGGCACAAGGAGGGGAAACCGGCUAACCAGAGACCCCGCCAACUUUUUCCCUCUCACCUGAGCGCCGCCGCCCUGCGCUCCCCGCGGCCCGAGCGGUAAUUGUGCAGAGCCCCCUGAAUGUCCUCUCGGAUCAGCUCCGCCUGCCAAUCACACCGUCAGGCCACGCCUCCCCACGCCGCACCCACUUCCUACCCGGGCCUCAUCCCUGGCCGAUUUUUCAGCUCAGUCCCAGCCCACGUGCGGCCACCGUCCACGCCCUGGACUCACCCCUCGCCCUACACCUGUCCCUGCCCUAAGCCACGACCCCGCCCAUGGAGACCCAGUCCGGGUGGUUCCUCGCCCCCAUCCUCGUCCUGGCUGGCCCCCCAGACCCUUCUUGGCCAUGUUCUGUUCAUGUCCUCAUCCCACCUUCGUGUUCUAUCUUGACCCUGGGUCCAAUCUCAAACCCCGCUGCCUUCCAGAACUUCCUUCCCAGGUCCCCUGCCCUUCCUUGCUCUGAUCCCGCCUUAGCCCCAGGCCCCGCCCCACCUAGAGGCCCCACCCAUUUCCGCCCCGGCUCCAGGCUCCGCCCCGUUCCAGCUCCACCCCCAGAGCCAGCCCGUUCGCUCACCCCGAGGCGCAGGCCCUGGAAGAAGUGCACGUCGGGCUGGGCGCGCUCGGGUUCCUGGCACACGAGCAGCAGCAACGAGCGGCUCCUGCCGGGUGGCAUCACCGCGUCACAGCGCACGAUGGCGCCCAGUGGGUACGACUCCAGCUCCUCCUGCGGGGUGGGAUGGCGGGGUAAACUGAGGCCCCGAAAUGAUGAUACUACUAAAUGGCGACGGGAGUGUGGGCCAGCAGGUCAGGGCAACCUCACGCGGUUAGGGGGUUAGGGAUAACACCCCUGUUUAAUAGAUGAGGCUAUUAAGGCUCAAGAAGGGGGCUGGGGUCCCUCACCAGAGUUCCCAGAGGAAGGACGUGCAGUAGCCAAGAUUCGCACCCAGACCCCCUGAAGUCCCUGCCCCAGACACUCCUCCCACCCAUGUGCCCCCUGGCACCUUGGAGGCCGGGUCGAGCAGCGUGACGUGGUCGGGAGACACUCGCAGCAGCAUCUCCUGUGCCCAGACUCGGCCCUGGCUAUCCAUGACGGCCAGCUUCCUGGAGGCAUCCUCCACAGUGUGCACGCCAUCAUCCUCACCCAGGCAGAACGUCACCAGGUGCUGGUACGGACCACGGAGAAAGCAGUGAGGCCCAAGAUGAUGCCAGGUGGGCUCAGAAUCCCCCGGAAUAAUCAGACUUUCAGCCUGAGACUAACCACACCUCCUCCAGGAAGCCUUCCUUGAUCACCUGUUCCACAAAUCAGCUCCUCCUCCCAGUGCCCUUUGUUUCCCUUCCAUCAGAGUGACUAGCAUCUGAGUCUGGCUUCUCACAGACUGGAGGCUCCUUGUGGGCAGGGAAGGAGUCUGGAUUAUAGCUCUCUCCUUCUAAAUGCCUCCUGGGGUCUCCUGCUGUGCCCCCUACCACCUCCAUUAGAGCACCAGGCGCCUCCUUGGGUUCCUCUGGACCUUGUCUACCCUCUCCUCAUGCAGGGCUCUGUCUUGAUUUGUCUCCGUGGUCCCACUGUCCAGCACCACAGCUGGCCGGGAGGAAAGGCUGGCAGAUUUGAGUGGACCCGAGGCCCCUGACUUCAUAUCCAUGACUGAGAUGAGGCAACGGAGGUCCAUUUUAUGGAUGGGCAAACUGACUUUCCACAUGCUUCCUGCUUGGGGGCCCAGCUGCUUUCAAAAGCCCUAUCUCCUGAGGCCACCUUUGUCCCAGAAGAUGUCCUGGGGCAGACCCCAGACUCACAUUGACUGGGUACUGGGAUACAUCAGCCAUAACAACUGUGGAGUAACGCUUCCUCUGCUCUGCCAGGGGAGAAGGAGAAUGAGCCUGGGAGUCCAGGCCCAGCCCCUCCUCCCUCAGACCCAGGAGUCCAGGUCCCCAGCCCCUCCUCCCUCAGACCUAGGAGUCCAGCCCCCCAGCCCCUCUUCCCUCUGACCCAGGAGUCCAGACCCUCAGCACCUCUUCCCUCUGACUCGGGAGUCCAGACCCCCAGCCCCUCCUCCCUCUGACUCGGGAGUCCAGACCCCCAGCCCCUCCUCCCUCAGACCCAGGAGUCCAGGCCCCCAGCCCCUCCUCCCUCAGACCCAGGAGUCCAGGCCCCCAGCCCCUCCUCCCUCAGACCCAGGAGUCCAGGCCCCCAGCCCCUCCUCCCUCAGACCCAGGAGUCCAGGCCCCCAGCCCCUCCUCCUCCAAGACCCUGGAUGCCAGGUCCUGUUUCUUUAGACCCAGUUCUAUGGGCCUGGGGCUCCCUUGCCCCCCACUCACCAUAGAUAGACUUGGCGCUUGGCUUCGGGGCAGCUUCUGGGCUGGUGAAGAAAAGAGGAAUGAGAGAGACUGUGGAAUUGGGGGCAGAUCCUGUGGAAAUGCCAAGCAGGGCAGCAAGGGCUUCAUUACGAAGGUAACGGGGAGCGACGGAAUGGUUAUUAUUGUUAUUAUUGAGCAGGAGAGCUCAGAGCCAGAGCUGGACUUUAAGAAGACAGGUGUGCCGGGCGCGGUGGCUCACGCCCUUAAUCCCAGCACUUUGGGAGGCAGAGGCAGGCGGAUCACAAAGUCAAGAGAUCGAGACCAUCUUGGCCAACGUGGUGAAGCCCUGUCUCUACUAAAAAUACAAAAGUUAGCUGGGUGUGGUGGCGUGCGCCUGUAGUCCCAGCUAUGUGGGAGGCUGAGGCAGGAGAAUCACUUGAACCUAGGAGGCGGAGGUUGCAGUGAGUCGAGAUUGUGCCACUGCACUCCAGCCUGGCAGCAGAGUGAGACCCCAUCUCAAAAAAAAAAAAAAAAAAAGACAGGUCAGGUCAGGCGGUGGUGCUGGGUGGUAGGGGAGUGUGAUCUCUACCAUGGCACAGUCCUGGAUUCAAACCCUCUGUGCACUGCCUCCUUGCCAUAAGACUUUGAGGAGGAGACUUAAUCUCUCCUACCUCAGUUUCUCUUUCUGUAACAUAGUAACCAUCUGAUAGGGCUGUUGGGCAAAUUCAAUCAGAUGAUGGAGGUGAAGUAUUUUGAAGCCUCAAUAACUGUUAUUAUCAUUCUUAAGAUGCUGCCAGGGCUUAGCACACAGAAGUUGCUCAAUAAAUGGGAAUGGUUACAA